This 183-nucleotide small nucleolar RNA is filed under the name Dipodomys ordii (Ord's kangaroo rat). RNAcentral's name for it is "Small nucleolar RNA U3". It matches the Rfam family "Small nucleolar RNA U3". Rfam says of the family: Small nucleolar RNAs (snoRNAs) are involved in the processing and modification of rRNA in the nucleolus. There are two main classes of snoRNAs: the box C/D class, and the box H/ACA class. The record is from Rfam by way of RNAcentral. Lineage: Eukaryota; Metazoa; Chordata; Mammalia; Rodentia; Heteromyidae.
AAGACUAUACUUUCAGGGAUCAUUUCUGUAGUUUGUUAUUAGAGAAAUCUCACUGAUCGUGUAGAGUACUGUAAUGGCAUGACAGAAAAGAAAGAACUGGAGACUGCUAUGAUGGCAUGGUUGGUUUUAGUGCUGAUGAAACAUGGGACUCUGUGAUAGAUGCAUGGAGCCCAUCAGAAUGGC